GGGACUGGGGGUCACUCUUACGAUGCGCGUCGAACGGAGCAGGAGAGCUUGCUCUCCGGAUCAGUGGCGAACGGAAGAGUAACACGUGAGCAACCUGCCCCGGACUCCGGGAUAACAGUUGGAAACAGCUGCUAAUACCGGAUACGAGCUGCGAAGGCAUCUUCAGCAGCUGGAAAGAACUUCGGUCUGGGAUGGGCUCGCGGCCUAUCAGCUAGUUGGUGAGGUAACGGCUCACCAAGGCGUCGACGGGUAGCCGGCCUGAGAGGGUGACCGGCCACACUGGGACUGAGACACGGCCCAGACUCCUACGGGAGGCAGCAGUGGGGAAUAUUGCACAAUGGGCGCAAGCCUGAUGCAGCAACGCCGCGUGAGGGACGACGGCCUUCGGGUUGUAAACCUCUUUUAGCAGGGAAGAAGCGAAAGUGACGGUACCUGCAGAAAAAGCGCCGGCUAACUACGUGCCAGCAGCCGCGGUAAUACGUAGGGCGCAAGCGUUAUCCGGAAUUAUUGGGCGUAAAGAGCUCGUAGGCGGUCUGUCGCGUCUGCUGUGAAAACCCGAGGCUCAACCUCGGGCCUGCAGUGGGUACGGGCAGACUAGAGUGCGGUAGGGGAGAUUGGAAUUCCUGGUGUAGCGGUGGAAUGCGCAGAUA
Molecule: ribosomal RNA, 650 nt
Filed under: bacterium
Lineage: Bacteria
Description: bacterial SSU rRNA
Rfam family: Bacterial small subunit ribosomal RNA
Source: RNAcentral